Marmota monax (woodchuck) is the source of this 2872-nucleotide long non-coding RNA. RefSeq lists it as uncharacterized. NCBI's taxonomy places the organism in Eukaryota, Metazoa, Chordata, Mammalia, Rodentia, Sciuridae. The transcript has 4 exons. The record is from RefSeq and is a predicted model, not a curated record.
GCUGAUCUGUCCUCGCUGCGUUUUCCUGUCACCAGGCAGAAAGGGUAACCUUUGUUUGUAAAUGCUGGGUCUCACUCCAGAACAUGCUUCUCGACCCAUAAUUGCUUUCAGAGCAUGCUGUUUCCACUUAGGGAAACCUGAGCUCCCUUCCAAAUGGCACUGGACAUGACCUGAAUUAUAUGUUUGCCUCCUGAAAUGAACACGCAAGUCAAGCCUGAUGCCUGCAAGUCACAAAGGCCUUGGGAUGUAGGAGGAACUGGCAAGGAGUUGGCUGAAGUGGGGAAAGCCAGGCUGUCUGGAGAAACAAACCAGAAUCAGAGCUUCCUACAGGUCCAGAUGCCACUCAGAGUACCUUCUUGUGCUGUCUCGUCCUGUGCCCAAACCCACUCCAGAAUAAAUAGCCCCAGCCCUCUGCCGGUUCCUCAGAAAGGCACAACUGAGGCCCAGCACUGCAGGCGGCCUGUCCGCUGGAGCUUCAGUGAAUCGGCAGCAGGAGCCAGAAGCUGACCCAGCAACCUGGACUCCCAGCCUGGAGCAGUCACCACAGGCUCCUGCAAAGCCAGAAAGCAGAGGCUUCGGAACGGGAGACUCUCCACCCUCAGUCUCUCCUCUUCUGAAUAUCUGCCCUGCACCAGGGACCAUUUCAGGUAACCAAUAUGUGGUUUGUACCACACCCAUGUAUCCCAAAUCCAAGCACUUCUCACUUCCUGCACCUGGACUAAGCCGUCGGCAUCUCCGAUGCUCUGCAGGGACCAUGCCUAACCGGCCCAAGCUUUGCUAUCUCUGCUUCCCUUUCGUGUCUUCUAGGCACAGCAGCCAGAAGAUCCUUUUAAAACCCAUGUCACAUCAUACUUGCCUCCUUCUUUAAAAUCCUCCAAGACUUUCCAUCGCAAUUAAAACGCAAGCUCAUUAUGCCCCCACCUGACCUCACUUCUGGGCCCCUGGCCCUCUUCCCACCAUUCUCUCCUCCCAGCACACUGGACACUUUGCUGUUCCUGGAUCCCAGCCAGCACCUCCUACCGCAGGGGCUUUGCUCUUGCUUUGCUCUCUACAUAUCCUUUCUUCCUCCAGAUAUCAUCUUGGCCCACCCCCUGCUUCUUUCAGUUCUGUGAUUAGGGUAACAUCCUUGGAGAGGCCUCCCUGGUCACGCAAGCUUAAAUGGUAUUUCUGCUUCAUGCUCCUCCCCUUAACCUGUCUCACUAGACCUCACACCACUCACUACUCACCAACAUCAAAAUGCACGUGUGUGUGUGUGUGUGUGUGUGUUUCCCCCCGUCUCCAUUUGAAUGUAAACUCCAUGCAAUAAGGGACUCUGUUAUCUUCCCUGCUGACACUAGAACCAUGCCUGGCACUGCCAAACUCUCGGGAAAUAUUCCCUUAGUGAAUGGAUUGGCCCCCAGGACACCCAGUGCUGAAACAGAUGUAAGAACUAGAGUCUCAGGUUUGGUUCUCCAGCCAGAGGGGUCUGGAAAGUCCCAGAGACCAACAACAGAUGGGACCCAUCCUGCCUGCAGUUUCCAAAGCAGUUCAAGGAUGAGAAGAGACUUUGAUCUGUCAAAGACAGCCACCAAAGAGACCAGACUACCACUAGUGCAGGACACUUCAAGGAGAGUCGAUCAUGAGCUACAAGGCUACCACUGCUACAUUUCCUAUAGCUCACUUCUUUUAAGACAUAAGCAAACCUCGCAUAAGCUGAGACAGCAAAUCUAAAUCUCUAGCCAGACAGCAAGCAUCCCUGGGGAAGUGGAGGACAGGAUCACCCUCCAAGUCACACAACGGACUUGCCCUGGGCCAUUCUCCAAAGGCCCCACUCGGGCCUUCCUCUGAACUCUGGGAUCUCCGCAGCUUGAGGAGUUCCUGAACCACAAGAAUAUUCCAGCCCAAUGCUCAGUGCUUCCUUCUGAACACCCCGGGGACCUGGACGUACCUCUGCCCAGAGGUACCAGCCUCCCUGCACCAGACUGGAGAAAACUACCCCUGGAGCAUGUGCACACCCAGACUGCAGGGACAGCCUCGCUGGGCUUCUGCAGCCAGGGCACCCACCCAUACACACACAAGAGUUCCAGGUUCCCAGUGGGGUGGGGUUGGAGGAGCAGCGGGGUGGCCAGGGCCCGGGGACAGCUCUCCCAGCCCCAUAUGUUCCAGCAUCAAAACUGUAAUAAUCUGCAGUGCUAAACAGAAGAUAUUCUUCCUCUUGUUAUAAAGGCUAUUUUGCUGCAGAAAAAGAAAAUGUGCACAUUUGUAACUCAGAGUUUGUAACUCUGAAGUCCUUAGCCAUACAUUAAAGGAAUCAGCAUUUCUACAGGCACCCUGGGCCCUACAAUGUCAGAACUGUGUUUGGAGGGCAAGGCAUCCCUCCCCAUCAGGGCCCCGGGACCCACAAAGCCCAUGGGGAAGGAAGAGGAAUUGGAGAGCCAAGCCCAAGAGCACCCUCCACCCUCCUUCUGAGAGUAGAAAGAGGCUUUCCUGGGAGGCAAAGUGAGUAGCCAGGGUCACUGAACUGUGGAGUGGGCCAUUCCCAAAAGAGGAAGGGAAGAGGAUGAGAUCAGAGCUUGGGGGUAGGGGUGAAGGAGGGCACCAAAGGGACUUCAGAAGGGCCUCUCCAGAAGGUACUUCUUUGGCACAUCAGUUCCCUACAAGGCUUCGAAGGAUUUGAGAGAUGGUAAAGAGGCUGGAAAAGGGGGAAGGGAUAUGUCUGGUUUUCCCAAACCUUGGAGCUACAGGCUGAGGAGUGGAGUUUGUCGCUAAGUCAGCCAAAUGAAGAAGCUGUUCAGGGGGUUCUCAGAACCAGGCUCAGAGCUGCCCAUCAAUUACUGCAGACAGGGCCAGUCCUCCACAAGGCACAGUGUCCAGGGCCCACACGACCUCAAAA